Long non-coding RNA from Pan troglodytes (chimpanzee), 2406 nucleotides. RefSeq lists it as uncharacterized. Lineage: Eukaryota; Metazoa; Chordata; Mammalia; Primates; Hominidae. The transcript has 2 exons. The record is from RefSeq and is a predicted model, not a curated record.
GUGGUCGUCGCGUAGUGCUCUGUCGAUGAAGGCUGCCGCCGGGUAGAAGAAGACACUGAGGUCGAAGGUGGGCAGGUCGUCGGCCUCCACGCCGUGGUACUGGAUGUCCAUGUCGCGGUAGUAGUCGGGCCCAGUGUCCACGUUCCAGCGGCCGUGGGCCGCGUUCAGCACGUGCGUGAACCCCGCCUUCUGCAGCCUAUAGCGGUCCAGCGCCGUCGCCCUGGGCGCAGGGGAGAGAAAUCUGUGGGCGCGCAGCGCCCUACCCCGGGUCCGGGAAACUCAGGGGCCACCCACGCUUUCCGCCGUGGAUUCCAGUUCCAGAAUAAGGACUAGUUAUUGCAAAUGAAGUCCCAAAGCUCUGCUCUUACCCGGUCCCCUAGGCCACCUGCACUGUUUUGUGAUUCUGGCUCCGCUGUCUCAAGAAAGGACAGGGUGGAGGCUGGGGUAGGCAAGCUGAGCUAUUCGUUCGUCCAUUCGUUCUUUCAUCAUUCAGUAUACACAGCGGAACCUGCUGCUGGACUCUACGGUGGUCGCAGAUCUGGACCUGCCAAAUCGCCUGAAAGCCCUCCAGAAUAACCUGUUCAUCAGGGCUGCCUUCUCCCAACCUCUGCUCUGAACCUGCUGGAUGUUUUUAGGGUUUGGAGAUGGACGCUCAACUGAAUGGUUUAAAGCAAGGCCUUCCAUAAGAGGAUUGGAUUGGGAUUGGGCAAAGUUCACAAAUUCACGUUGGCACGCUGUGAACGGGGAAGUGUUGCUUUGGGGAGCUGUUGCCCAGCUGGGCAGAGCAUUGUUCUGAGAAGGAGGGCUUUUUGAGCCAUCUGUUGUUUGAAUUGAUUGCAGGGAAGUUCUUGAAGCCAGCAGUGAAGUUAUUUAAUGGGCUACAGCUUUAUCUUUCUAGGCAAGAAUUUCCAGGAACAGUAAAGUCCUCUUGAAGUAGGUGGCUCUGAAAUAUGACUCGAUGAGAAGGCAGCAUGGUGGGGCCGGAGUGGAGAUGGGCUGCCAGAGGAAACACGGGUUCUUCCUGCCUGUGGGGUGGGGCAGGGAGAGGCCUGUGUCACUACAAGUGUCAACAUUUGGUGAUGGAGGGGAAGAAGGAGGCAAGCACGGGCCAAGCCAAGGAAACAGCACCACCUGAGUUCUCAGGAGAGACCAUUGUAGAGGCAUAAGGUGGCCUCGGGGUUUUUAACUUCUACUUGAAAUCUCCUGUCUGCCCCACUCUCCCAAACUCUAUUCCUCCAAGGAUGGAGGUGAAGAGAAGAGAAUACCCACGAGGUCUGGUUUUGAGAAAUGAUGUCGUGUGAGUGAUUGGACUCGGCAUUUGCCUAACCAUGCAAGGAGAUGGUUUAUGUUGCUUGAGGCCUUGACUGCUAAGCCGUGUUCUGGCAAUGAGAAGGCCAGGCCAGGCCAGGGCCUCAGGCUUCUCUCCCCGACCGUCUUGCCUGUGACUGCUGCCCAGCUAUGCCUCAGUUGCCUUCAGUAGUUGGAAGUCCUAGUUAUUUCAGGUAACACCCAGCAUGUUAAAUUGGCAACCUUGACUGUUUUUUGCUGCAUCCUAAACUGGCCACACCACCCACACCUGGAAGAAGCAGGUUAAUUUCAUUCCUGCUCGGUGCCUUAAGGCAGAAUUAGUUCCUCCUUUUCGGGGAGAAGGAGCUGUCUCAGCUGACUGACUUGCCUUCACUUCACUUCCCAGGCUCUCAACGCCAGGCCAGCUGUGGUGAUGCCUCUGGCUUCUGAGGCUGUGGGUCUGGUCAGAAGCAGAAAAGCAGAAAGGACAAGACAGAGGUUCCCUGGAAAGCCAGCUUGGGCUGGGUGGGUGGGGCAGGCUGCAGGCCUUGGCAGGAAUCUGAGCCCAAAUGCCGGACCUUGGAGGCAACUGUUGUUUACACAAAAAUGAGGAGCUCCUGAGGGCCCGCACCAUUCCAUGAGCAGCAGAAGUUUAACCUCACCCUGGCACUGGCUCUCCAACACCCGCAUUGUGGAGAGGGAAGAGAGAUUUCUCAAUUAUCCCGUUUCAGCCAAGCCUUAUCACUGGAGGCUGCCCUGCCUAAGAAUUUGCAAUCACUUUGAUGGUAGCCAGGAUAUUUCCCCUCCUGCUGACUAUAGGGAAAAAAAGGACUGAAAAAAGAUUUUGCUAAGCCAAUGAAAGAUGUGAACGAGAUUAAAGUGAGAAUAUUUAAAUUACAGAAACUUAGUGCUUUCGAGCGUACUCAAGCAUUUUUGAAGCACCCAUUUAGGGACUGCUGAUUGAUAAGAGGUGAUGAAUUAUUCUUAUCUCAUCAUUGACGCCAGUCCCUGGCUCUCUGGAGGGCAACACUUGGUUAACCUAAUUUGAAUCUAAUUUGAACGACUUAAAAGUAAUAAAACAAGUGUGUGCUUGAAACUAAUAAAGCCUAAUUCAUUUAA